Molecule: long non-coding RNA, 549 nt
Organism: Leptonychotes weddellii (Weddell seal)
Lineage: Eukaryota; Metazoa; Chordata; Mammalia; Carnivora; Phocidae
Source: RefSeq, a predicted model, not a curated record
UGAAGACUGGCUGAUCUUGCAGGAGGCUGAAACAGUUGUUCGAGCCAUGACAAGAGCAGCCCGGACCAGGGUCCUACGGACAGGGAUGGUGGAAGAUGGAAGUAUUCGUGAGUUACCUACAAGGGAAAAGAGAAAUGAUCUGGUGAUGGAGUCAAUGUGGAUGUGUCUGCUAAAAACAGGGGUGAUGGCAAUAGAGCAUAACAGAUAUCUGGACUCUGGACACAGACACAUCCAGGUUCAAGUCCGUCAACUCCCUACUCUGUCACCUUCGAGUGGUAUUAGCUUGGCCAACUUAUUUAACCACUGUACACUUUAGCCUUCUCAUCUGUAACCGUGGGAUACCAGAACUGAGGUUCAGAGGAUUAGGAACGACUGGAAUUUGAAAGCAGGCCUGCCUACUUCAAAGCCCCUCUUCAUUCAGAUAUUCAGGCUGCUCUGCAUUUCUGUGUUCUUAGCCUAUCUUGGUCUGAAUGAGCUUAGAAGUGGAAGCAUUUCCAGAGCUUACAGAAAGGAACGCAGCUUUGCUGGCACCUUGAUUUUGGCCUUGUG